RNAcentral lists this ribosomal RNA (254 nucleotides) under uncultured bacterium. Its description in RNAcentral is "partial 16S ribosomal RNA". It matches the Rfam family "Bacterial small subunit ribosomal RNA", at positions 524 to 776 of the family's 1533-position model. The record is from RNAcentral.
UACGAGAGGCCCAAACAUUAUUCGGAAUUACUGGGCUUAAAGAGUUCGUAGGCGGCAUGGAAAGUAGGGUGUGAAAUCCCUCGGCUCAACCGAGGAAUUGCGCUCUAAACUGCCGUGCUAGAGGAAGCUAGAGGUGAGCGGAACUGAUGGUGGAGCGGUGAAAUGCGUUGAUAUCAUCAGGAACACCGGAGGCGAAGGCGGCUCACUGGGGCUUUUCUGACGCUGAGGAACGGAAAGCCAGGGUAGCGAACGGG